RNAcentral lists this ribosomal RNA (468 nucleotides) under uncultured bacterium. RNAcentral's name for it is "partial 16S ribosomal RNA". It matches the Rfam family "Bacterial small subunit ribosomal RNA", at positions 28 to 507 of the family's 1533-position model. The record is from RNAcentral.
GACGAACGCUGGCGGCGUGCUUAACACAUGCAAGUCGAACGGACAGGCCCUGCUCUUGUGGGGUGCUCGAGUGGCGAACGGGUGAGUAAAACGUGAGUAAACUGCCCUUGACUUUGGGAUAACUUCUGGAAACUGGGGCUAAUACCGGAUAGAAGCUCCUGCUGCAUGGUGGGGGUUGGAAAGUUUCGGCGGUUGGGGAUGGACUGGCGGGUUAUCCGCUUGUUGGUGGGGUAGUGGAGUACCAGGGCUUUGAAGGGUAGCCGGCCUGGGAGGUGGACCGGCGUCAUGACGACUGAGAGAGGCACCAGACGCGAACGGGAGGCAGUGGGGGAGAGUAUGACGCAACGAGGCGAAGUCAGAUGUGGCAGUGCUGCGAGCGUGAUACCGUCCUACGGGGUGUAAACCGCUGUCUACUGUGACGAAGAGUUCGUGACGGUAAUGGGUAAAGAAGCACCGGCUAACUACGUG